GGGCCCUUGGCACAGUUGGUAGCGCGUACGCUUCGCAUCUCGAGAAUGCGUAAGGUCGUGGGUUCGACUCCCACAGUGUCCA
This is a transfer RNA of Coniophora puteana RWD-64-598 SS2, 82 nucleotides long. It matches the Rfam family "tRNA". Rfam says of the family: Transfer RNA (tRNA) molecules are approximately 80 nucleotides in length. Their secondary structure includes four short double-helical elements and three loops (D, anti-codon, and T loops). The record is from Rfam. Lineage: Eukaryota; Fungi; Basidiomycota; Agaricomycetes; Boletales; Coniophoraceae.